ACACACACCUGUGAGGGAAUGACAGCGUGUGGAGCGACCAUGCUGUUGGAUUGAAUUCACCUGUCCAGAGAGGCCUUCUGGCCUGCCCUCCCAGGACAGUGAGUUCCAGAGGGAGAGCAAAUGCAGAUGCGGGAAGGUUCCCAGUGGCUGGCCCUCAUUUGUCCGUGGAGCGAGUAGCCCAGAGACCACAUCAGAGAUGUAACUGUAUCAUGACCUCUGCAAAGACAACGGAAACCCACAGGCCAAAUGCCUACAAAAACAAAAAAAAAGGGAGAAUUGCCCAUGAAGUGAAACAUUGGAAUAAGCAGUCAGUAACUAAAGAGGGAUGACUGGGAUUAUUCACCUGGUUGUUUUCCCAAAUCACAGAGAACAAUUGGAAAGGACCACGAGACCUGAAAAACCCUCCUUCUUCCCAUCUCUCUCCCACAUAUGGUGGGUUUUGCGGGUUAAAGGAUGUGUAAUAGGGCACACAUGAUC
RNAcentral lists this long non-coding RNA (477 nucleotides) under Equus asinus (donkey). RNAcentral's name for it is "lncRNA (ENSEASG00005029894.1)". The record is from RNAcentral. Lineage: Eukaryota; Metazoa; Chordata; Mammalia; Perissodactyla; Equidae.